CUAUAAAAGAUGUAACAGAUGCAAACUGUAAAACAAGGGCAAUUAACCCUUGCUCUCCUGAGCAGGAUUCCCCCCUCCUCGCCUUCGCAUCUAUUGUCUUCCCCUGCACUGGGAGUUUUGUACAAAAUGUAGAA
This 134-nucleotide long non-coding RNA is filed under the name Anas platyrhynchos platyrhynchos (common mallard). Its description in RNAcentral is "ZEB2 antisense RNA 1 conserved region 1 (ENSAPLG00000016661.1)". It matches the Rfam family "ZEB2 antisense RNA 1 conserved region 1". The record is from RNAcentral. Lineage: Eukaryota; Metazoa; Chordata; Aves; Anseriformes; Anatidae.